This 319-nucleotide long non-coding RNA is filed under the name Capsicum annuum. Its description in RNAcentral is "long non-coding RNA (CANN_LNC007940)". Lineage: Eukaryota; Viridiplantae; Streptophyta; Magnoliopsida; Solanales; Solanaceae. The record is from RNAcentral.
UUUAAAAUUCGAACUUAAAAACCCGCAUCCAAACUGAUGGCCAAAGUAGUGGUCCAUCGCAAGUGACGGUCCUCCAUUUGGUCUGUAGCUACUGAUCCUAGAAAGUCACUUUCUGGAUAAGUCUGAUGGUCACAGUGGUGGUAUGUCGCAAGACUGACGAUCAACCAUUUUGACCGUUGGUAAUGAUCUUUGAGAGUCAAGUUCUGGAUAGUCCUAACGGCCAAAGUUGUGGUCCGUCCCAAGACGAUGGUCCACCAUUUUGGCCGUCGCUGAGCAUUUCAGGAUGCCUGGUUCUAUUUAGCACUGACGGCCAAAGCAG